RNAcentral lists this ribosomal RNA (303 nucleotides) under uncultured bacterium. RNAcentral's name for it is "partial 16S ribosomal RNA". It matches the Rfam family "Bacterial small subunit ribosomal RNA", at positions 507 to 807 of the family's 1533-position model. The record is from RNAcentral.
AGCAGUCGCCACGGUAAUACGUAGGUGGCAAGCGUUGUCCGGAAUUAUUGGGCAUAAAGGGCUCGCAGGCGGUUUCUUAAGUCUGAUGUGAAAGCCCCCGGCUCAACCGGGGAGGGUCAUUGGAAACUGGGAAACUUGAGUGCAGAAGAGGAGAGUGGAAUUCCACGUGUAGCGGUGAAAUGCGUAGAGAUGUGGAGGAACACCAGUGGCGAAGGCGACUCUCUGGUCUGUAACUGACGCUGAGGAGCGAAAGCGUGGGGAGCGAACAGGAUUAGAUACCCGAGUAGUCCCUGUCUCUUAUAC